This 971-nucleotide small RNA is filed under the name Drosophila pseudoobscura pseudoobscura. RNAcentral's name for it is "GA32451". The record is from RNAcentral. Lineage: Eukaryota; Metazoa; Arthropoda; Insecta; Diptera; Drosophilidae.
CAAAUUUAAAGCCCCAAGUCUAUAAAAAUAAGUCGGUUUGGUUCGCAGCGUCGAAAAAAAUUAAUUAAUUGUAAUUUCCCAUAUAAGGAAUAGAUUUCUUCUGCUCUGCGAUCUCGUUCAGAGAAAGUUCCGUUUUAGAAGGUUUAACGCCUAGCCCGCAUUUGUCUUGCCAUUCCCAGCAAACCAACUAACGUGCCUUUUGCGAGAGUUCCGCAAAAUGCUCGCAAGCGAGCUUGUGUACAAGCGACAUGGUUUUGUGUCGCAAAACGCUCGCAAACGAGUUCGCAAGCGAGCCAAAAAUUAGCUCUACUUCUUGUGUGGCAAAACGCUCGCAAACGAGCUCGCGAGCGGGAGUUUUACAAUAGGAAAGUGCGCUGCGACUGUGCUGCCGGUCGAAAGCCAAAAAAAGCAAGCCUUCGUGUGCCUUCGGUCCGGCAAUUCUCCUUCGGCUUUGUGUUCACGUCUCGACAGUUGACGUGUCGACAGAUUAGUGGUCGAAAAGUCAUUUGUGUUUUUCCUUUUUUACAUGUGUCGAGCAUUAGAAACAAGUGCAAAUAAAGCGUGCGUUCCUUGCGCCGUCAUUUCAAUUAUUUUCGUCCAACUGUGCAGUGCUAAGCUAAACAUCUCUACCAUCUCUUACGCAUUUAAAAGAAAUUUCUGCCAAUCGCCGAACAUAUAUCGGAGAGGCUCGACACGUGCAAAGAGCUACUGGAGAUUUUGAGGUUAAAUUGAAUCAUAUGCAAAAUAUUUCGAAAGUUUUUCUCCUGGCGUGGGACAGACUCCAAAAAGUGUGUAAGAGGACUUCGAACCACUUUAGCACUACGAAAUGCAUUUAAACAGAAGUUUGCGCUCGACGAUCAGGAUUUCGACCAUACAACUCAAAAAUAUUUCCAGUAUGCUCAGGAACGGAAGGCCAGAUUGGAAAAAAGUGAUGCAAAAAAACUUAAAUUUUAGUACAUAGUUCAUACAUA